CAGCAGCCACGGUAAUACGUAGGGGGCUAGCGUUAUUCGGAAUUAUUGGGCGUAAAGCGCUCGUAGGCGGGAUGGAAAGUCCGUGAAGAAAGACCUGGGCUCAACUCAGGGAACGGCACGGAUACUUCCAUUCUUGAGGCAAUCAGAGGGUGAUGGAAUUCCCGGUGUAGCGGUGAAAUGCGUAGAUAUCAUGAGGAAGACCAGUUGCGAAGGCGACUCUCUGGGCAACUCCUGACGCUGAGGCGCGAAAGCGUGGGGAGCAAACAGGAUUAGAUACCCCCGUAGUCCCUGUCUCUUAUAU
Molecule: ribosomal RNA, 301 nt
Filed under: uncultured bacterium
Lineage: Bacteria
Description: partial 16S ribosomal RNA
Rfam family: Bacterial small subunit ribosomal RNA
Source: RNAcentral